AUGGGGCGAGGCGUCGCGGCGGCGUUCCUGCACGCCUUGUCGGCCUUGGAGCUAGCCUUGGCGGGGGCGGGCCGAGGCGUCGCGGCGGAGGACGUUAAGCAGACGGGCACGCGCCGCCGGCGCGCUUGCCGUGGGCGUCCGCUUCGCCCGAGCCCAGGAGUGGGGCGAGAGGUCGCGCCGGCGUUCCUACACGCCUUGUCGCCCUUGAAGCUGGCCUUGGCGGGCCGAGGCGUCGCGGCGGAGGACGACAAGGCGGCCGGCGUGCUCUGUUGGGGCGACGCGUCGCGGCGCUCCGGCUCCAGCAGAUGA
This 309-nucleotide ribosomal RNA is filed under the name Triticum aestivum (bread wheat). RNAcentral describes it as "partial small subunit ribosomal RNA". Lineage: Eukaryota; Viridiplantae; Streptophyta; Magnoliopsida; Poales; Poaceae. The record is from RNAcentral.